UACCUACUCCCUCCGUUCCGAAUUACUUCCCGCACGUAUGGAUGUAUCUAGAUGUAUUUUAGUUCUAGAUACAUCCAUUUCAACGAUGAGUAAUUUGGAACGGAGGGGGUAUAUU
This is a non-coding RNA of Triticum aestivum (bread wheat), 115 nucleotides long. The record is from Rfam. Lineage: Eukaryota; Viridiplantae; Streptophyta; Magnoliopsida; Poales; Poaceae.